This 468-nucleotide ribosomal RNA is filed under the name uncultured bacterium. Its description in RNAcentral is "partial 16S ribosomal RNA". It matches the Rfam family "Bacterial small subunit ribosomal RNA", at positions 28 to 507 of the family's 1533-position model. The record is from RNAcentral.
GACGAACGCUGGCGGCGUGCUUAACACAUGCAAGUCGAACGGACAGGCCCUGCUUUUGUUGGUUGCUCGAGUGGCGAACGGGUGAGUAACACGUGAGUAACCUGCCCUUGACUUUGUGAUAUCUUCAGGAAACUGGGGCUCAUACCGCAUAUGAGCUCCUGCUGCAUGUUGUUGGUUGGAAAGUUUCGGCGGUUGGGGAUGGACUCGCGGCUUCUCCGCUUGUUGGUGGGGUAGUGGCUUACCAAGGCUUUGACGGGUAGCCUGCCUGAGAGGGUGACCGGCGACAAGGGGACUGAGAGACGGACCAGACGCCUACGGGAGGCAGCAGUGGGGAAUAUGGCAGAAUGGGCGGAAGCCUGAUGCAGAAACGCUGCGUGCGGGAUGAUGGCCUUCGGGGUGUAAACCGAUGUCGAAGGUGACGAAGAGGGAGUGACGGUAAUGGGUAAAGAAGCAACGGCUAACUACGUG